UUAGUGGCGCACGGGUGAGUAACGCGUGAAUAACCUGACCCGAAGAGGGGGAUAACACCUGGAAACAAGUGCUAAUACCGCAUAAGACCACGGACCGGCAUCGGUCAGAGGUCAAAGGAGAAAUCCGCUUUGGGAGGGGUUCGCGUCCCAUUAGGUAGUUGGUGAGGUAACGGCCCACCAAGCCGACGAUGGGUAGCCGAGCUGAGAGGCUGAUCGGCCACACUGGAACUGAGACACGGUCCAGACUCCUACGGGAGGCAGCAGUGGGGAAUAUUGGGCAAUGGGCGCAAGCCUGACCCAGCAACGCCGCGUGAGGGAAGAAGGUUUUCGGAUUGUAAACCUCUGUCACAGGGGACGAAGGAAGUGACGGUACCCUGUAAGAAAGCCCCGGCUAACUACGUGCCAGCAGCCGCGGUAAUACGUAGGGGGCGAGCGUUGUCCGGAAUUACUGGGCGUAAAGGGAGCGUAGGCGGUCGAUUAAGUUAGAUGUGAAACCCCGGGCUUAACUUGGGGACUGCAUCUAAUACUGGUUGACUUAGAGUACAGGAGAGGGAAGCGGAAUUCCUAGUGUAGCGGUGAAAUGCGUAGAUAUUAGGAGGAACACCAGUGGCGAAGGCGGCUUUCUGGACUG
This 631-nucleotide ribosomal RNA is filed under the name uncultured Bacillota bacterium. RNAcentral's name for it is "bacterial SSU rRNA". It matches the Rfam family "Bacterial small subunit ribosomal RNA", at positions 92 to 736 of the family's 1533-position model. Lineage: Bacteria; Bacillati; Bacillota. The record is from RNAcentral.